GAUGAACGCUAGCUACAGGCUUAACACAUGCAAGUCGAGGGGAAACGGCAUUGAGUGCUUGCACUCUUUGGACGUCGACCGGCGCACGGGUGAGUAACGCGUAUCCAACCUUCCCAUUACUGUGGAAUAACCUGCCGAAAGGCGGACUAAUACCGCAUAGUCUUCGAUGACGGCAUCAGAUUUGAAGUAAAGAUUUAUCGGUAAUGGAUGGGGAUGCGUCUGAUUAGCUUGUUGGCGGGGUAACGGCCCACCAAGGCGACGAUCAGUAGGGGUUCUGAGAGGAAGGUCCCCCACAUUGGAACUGAGACACGGUCCAAACUCCUACGGGAGGCAGCAGUGAGGAAUAUUGGUCAAUGGACGGAAGUCUGAACCAGCCAAGUAGCGUGCAGGAUGACGGCCCUAUGGGUUGUAAACUGCUUUUGUAUGGGGAUAAAGUUAGGGACGUGUCCCUAUUUGCAGGUACCAUACGAAUAAGGACCGGCUAAUUCCGUGCCAGCAGCCGCGGUAAUACGGAAGGUCCAGGCGUUAUCCGGAUUUAUUGGGUUUAAAGGGAGCGUAGGCUGGAUAUUAAGUGUGUUGUGAAAUGUAGACGCUCAACGUCUGACUUGCAGCGCAUACUAGUUUCCUUGAGUACGCACAACGUUGGCGGAAUUCGUCGUGUAGCGGUGAAAUGCUUAGAUAUGACGAAGAACUCCGAUUGCGAAGGCAGCUGACGGGAGCGCAACUGACGCUUAAGCUCGAAGGUGCGGGUAUCAAACAGG
This 761-nucleotide ribosomal RNA is filed under the name Prevotella melaninogenica. RNAcentral's name for it is "bacterial SSU rRNA". It matches the Rfam family "Bacterial small subunit ribosomal RNA", at positions 28 to 776 of the family's 1533-position model. The record is from RNAcentral. Lineage: Bacteria; Pseudomonadati; Bacteroidota; Bacteroidia; Bacteroidales; Prevotellaceae.